This 300-nucleotide ribosomal RNA is filed under the name uncultured bacterium. RNAcentral's name for it is "bacterial SSU rRNA". It matches the Rfam family "Bacterial small subunit ribosomal RNA", at positions 1082 to 1382 of the family's 1533-position model. The record is from RNAcentral.
AAGUCCCGCAACGAGCGCAACCCACGUCGUUAGUUGCUAACAGUUCGGCUGAGAACUCUAACGAGACUGCCUGGGCAACCAGGAGGAAGGUGUGGACGACGUCAAGUCAUCAUGGCCCUUACGGCCAGGGCUACACACGUGCUACAAUGGGGCAUACAAAGAGCAGCGAUACCGCGAGGUGGAGCAAAUCUCUUAAAAUGUCUCCCAGUUCGGAUUGUACUCUGCAACUCGAGUGCAUGAAGUUGGAAUCGCUAGUAAUCGUAGAUCAGCAAUGCUACGGUGAAUACGUUCCCGGGUCUU